GUGGGGAAUCUUCCGCAAUGGACGAAAGUCUGACGGAGCAACGCCGCGUGAGUGAAGAAGGUUUUCGGAUCGUAAAGCUCUUUCGUUAGGGACGAACGUGCUCUUUGUGAAUAAUGAGGAGUAAUGACGGUACCUAAAUAAGAAGCCACGGCUAACUACGUGCCAGCAGCCGCGGUAAUACGUAGGUGGCAAGCGUUGUCCGGAAUUAUUGGGCGUAAAGCGCGCGCAGGCGGGAUAUCAAGUCUGUCUUAAAAGUGCGAGGCUCAACCUCGUGAGGGGACAGAAACUGGGAUUCUUGAGUGUCGGAGAGGAAAGUGGAAUUCCAAGUGUAGCGGUGAAAUGCGUAGAGAUUUGGAAGAACACCAGUGGCGAAGGCGACUUUCUGGACGAUGUCUGACGCUGAGGCGCGAAAGCUAGGGGAGCGAACGGGAUUAGAAACCCUAGUAGUCC
Molecule: ribosomal RNA, 450 nt
Filed under: uncultured bacterium
Lineage: Bacteria
Description: partial 16S ribosomal RNA
Rfam family: Bacterial small subunit ribosomal RNA
Source: RNAcentral